This 26-nucleotide non-coding RNA is filed under the name Mus musculus (house mouse). Lineage: Eukaryota; Metazoa; Chordata; Mammalia; Rodentia; Muridae. RNAcentral also lists the same sequence under 1 other name. The record is from RNAcentral.
UCAAUUAGAAAAAGGAAAUUUGGAUG